RNAcentral lists this ribosomal RNA (253 nucleotides) under uncultured bacterium. RNAcentral's name for it is "partial 16S ribosomal RNA". It matches the Rfam family "Bacterial small subunit ribosomal RNA", at positions 524 to 776 of the family's 1533-position model. The record is from RNAcentral.
UACGUAGGGGGCAAGCGUUGUCCGGAAUCAUUGGGCGUAAAGCGCACGUAGGCGGCUUGGUAUGUCGGGUGUGAAAUCCCUCGGCUCAACCGAGGACGUGCAUCGGAAACUGCGGGGCUUGAGUACUGAAGAGGAUCGCGGAAUUCCCGGUGUAGAGGUGAAAUUCGUAGAUAUCGGGAGGAACACCAGUGGCGAAGGCGGCGACCUGGGCCAAUACUGACGCUGAGGUGCGAAAGCGUGGGGAGCAAACAGG